CGGGGCUUGGCUCUGGAGAGUUCUCGGGGAGGCGGGCCGGGCACUCGGGUCUCGCCAGCACCCUUGGGCUCCAGGCGGCUCCUCGGCGCCGCUCCUCCCUGGCCCCGGCGGUGUCUCGGCUGGGCGCCGGGGCCCUCCAGCUCGUCCCGUCUCGGGGCUGGGCCGCCUGCAGGCCCGCUCGCUGCUGUGGCCGGAGCCAACCCAGCGCUCCGCCAGCGCCUUGCGCCCCGGGCCACCAGCCCGCCCGUCGGCACGUGUCGCAGCACCGCCUCGGCUGUGGUUCCGGGUUAGAAGGGAAGGAUUCGUGAGGCCAUCGGUCAUCGGGCGGACAUGGGGCGGGGGCAGCCCAGCCAGAGGCCAGGGCGGCGGCGGCCUGGGCGGCGGCCCCUGGGCGGCGGGCUCUGGGCGGCGGGGCCUGUGCUGGUGCAGAAGCAGUCCUGCAGGCCUGAGCGUGGGAGCCCAAGAACGGAGCGAGGACACGUCAUCCGUGCCUGAUUCUGCAGAUUGGAAGUGUGAAAUCAUCGUGUCGGCAGGGCCUCACUCCAUCUGGAGCUUCUAGAGGAGGAUCCGUUCCUCACCUCCUCCAGCUGCCCGUGGCUCCAGGCAUUCCUUGGUUUGCGGCCGCAUCACUCCACUCUCUGUCUCUGUCUUCACAUGGCCUUCUCCUUUGAGUCUCCUCCCCUCCUCUUACCAGGGGAGGAUUUAGGGCUCAAUCCUAAUCCAGGAUGAUCUCUUCUCAAGAUCCUUAACUUCUGUAAAGACCCUUUUUGCAAAUAAAGUCAUGUUCACAGUUUCCAGCGGGCAAUCUUUUGGGAGACUGCUAUUCGAACCACUGCACCUCUCCCGUUUCAAAUUUGAAAAACACGCCACACUGUAGGGCCUGGGAUCUGGCUUCCUACAGCCAACAAGGGGACAGGCAAUGCAAGCUGGAUGUGUGAGGAAGUAACUCCCAACUGACGAAGCUUGACCAAAUGGAAAACAAGAGAAGGAAGAAACCAGGGAGAUGAAUCUCGCCCUCCCUGGCCCUCCUCCCACCCCGCUGAAGAAGGCUCACGUGUUCCAGCAAGCCUGCCAGCCAAGCUGCCCAGCUCUUCCAAGCUCUUCCUGAAGACAACGCCUUCACACCCUUCUUCUCCUUCCCUCACCUCGCUUCCCACUGCGGCUCAUCCACACCUCCCA
This 1179-nucleotide long non-coding RNA is filed under the name Equus asinus (donkey). Its description in RNAcentral is "lncRNA (ENSEASG00005036181.1)". The record is from RNAcentral. Lineage: Eukaryota; Metazoa; Chordata; Mammalia; Perissodactyla; Equidae.